This 233-nucleotide ribosomal RNA is filed under the name uncultured Rhodocyclales bacterium. Its description in RNAcentral is "partial 16S ribosomal RNA". It matches the Rfam family "Bacterial small subunit ribosomal RNA", at positions 102 to 334 of the family's 1533-position model. The record is from RNAcentral. Lineage: Bacteria; Pseudomonadati; Pseudomonadota; Betaproteobacteria; Rhodocyclales.
ACGGGUGAGUAAUACAUCGGAACGUGUCGAGAAGAGGGGGAUAACCACCCGAAAGGGUGGCUAAUACCGCAUAAAUUCUGAGGAAGAAAGCUGGGGACCUAGGAAUAGGCCUAGCGCUUUUUGAGCGGCCGAUGUCGGAUUAGCUAGUUGGUGAGGUAAAGGCUCACCAAGGCGAAGAUCUGUAGCGGGUCUGAGAGGAUGAUCCGCCACACUGGGACUGAGACACGGCCCAG